GCGAUCGAAUGUUGUAUAGUUGGAAACGGAUGCGCCAUCUACAAAAGUAUAUAAUGAUUGUAGCAAAUAGAAUAACACCAACAAGACCUACAACUGACACUGCAAUAAUUAAAACUAUAUUUUUACAGCUUUCGGGAGUCGGAUUGUAAUUGAUUAGAAACUCUGAGUUGUCACACUUGUAAUUCGUUGCAUUUUUGAUUUCAACCUUUGUUGAUUUCAUCCAGUCUCUGAACCAC
This 236-nucleotide long non-coding RNA is filed under the name Mytilus galloprovincialis (Mediterranean mussel). The record is from RNAcentral. Lineage: Eukaryota; Metazoa; Mollusca; Bivalvia; Mytilida; Mytilidae.